Molecule: ribosomal RNA, 506 nt
Filed under: uncultured bacterium
Lineage: Bacteria
Description: partial 16S ribosomal RNA
Rfam family: Bacterial small subunit ribosomal RNA
Source: RNAcentral
GAUGAACGCUGGCGGCAGGCCUAACACAUGCAAGUCGGACGGUAACAGGAAGCAGCUUGCUGCUUUGCUGACGAGUGGCGAACGGGUGAGUAAAGUCUGGGUAACUGCCUGAUGGAGGGGGAUAACUACUGGAAACGGUAGCUAAUACCGCAUAACGUCGCAAGACCAAAGUGGGGGACCUCCGGGCCUCAUGCCAUCAGAUGUGCCCAGACGGGAUUAGCUUGUUGGUGGGGUAAAGGCUCACCGAGGCGACGAUCCCUAGCUGGUCUGAGAGGAUGACCAGCCACACUGGAACUGAGACACGGUCCAGACUCCUACGGGAGGCAGCAGUGGGGAAUAUUGCACAAUGGGCGCAAGCCUGAUGCAGCCAUGCCGCGUGUAUGAAGAAGGCCUUCGGGUUGUAAAGUACUUUCAGCGGGGAGGAAGGGGGAAUGGUGAACAGCCAUUGUCAUUGACGUUACCCGCAGAAGAAGCACCGGCUAACUCCGUGCCAGCCGCCGCAGUAA